UUAAAAAAAAUAAUAAAAAAAAAAAAAAAUAUUUUGGAAAACACAAAUCCCCUUUUCACAAUAUGAACGCUCGAUGAUUUAUUUUAUAAUGCAAAUUUGGGAUUUUGUUGUUCACUUGCCUAAUAACUUUUAGCAUUGUAUGAUUGGGUAGCAUUUGCAUUGUUUAAUGUCUCCCGAAAAGUCCACCAAACAAUUCAACUGUUUGUUUUAGUUCGUUCCUUUGCUGUUCCCAUAAGGUCACAAACGACUCUGACUGUCUCUAGACGUCUUAUUGCGUCAAAUAAUUCCAACUGUGACCUUGACCUUUGUCUUCAAAAAUUAAUAGGAUUCUAGAUUUUCAUAAGGACUAAAAACGAAUCAAGUACGGUCAAAUUCCUAGAACGUUGUUAAAUAUAGAGUGUCAACAAGUGUGUUACGGACGGAAAGGCGGACCGAGGGUAAAGAAACCCUCGAAUUUUGUAGGCGAGAGAAUAAACUUGAACCCAUUGGAAUCGGAAAUGCAGACAGAUGUUAUUUUACACGAAGACAAUGGGGUUCAAAUCGUCAAAAUGUCAACUAAAGCAAAGUUUGUUUGUAUCGUUCUUUAAAUGUCGUUUAAACUUUUUG
This 606-nucleotide long non-coding RNA is filed under the name Mytilus galloprovincialis (Mediterranean mussel). Lineage: Eukaryota; Metazoa; Mollusca; Bivalvia; Mytilida; Mytilidae. The record is from RNAcentral.